RNAcentral lists this ribosomal RNA (404 nucleotides) under uncultured Alistipes sp. Its description in RNAcentral is "bacterial SSU rRNA". It matches the Rfam family "Bacterial small subunit ribosomal RNA", at positions 338 to 734 of the family's 1533-position model. The record is from RNAcentral. Lineage: Bacteria; Pseudomonadati; Bacteroidota; Bacteroidia; Bacteroidales; Rikenellaceae.
CCUACGGGAGGCAGCAGUGGGGAAUAUUGGACAAUGGGCGAAAGCCUGAUCCAGCCAUGCCGCGUGUGUGAAGAAGGUCUUCGGAUUGUAAAGCACUUUAAGUUGGGAGGAAGGGCAGCUAAUUAAUACUUCGCUGUUUUGACGUUACCGACAGAAUAAGCACCGGCUAACUCUGUGCCAGCAGCCGCGGUAAUACAGAGGGUGCAAGCGUUAAUCGGAAUUACUGGGCGUAAAGCGCGCGUAGGUGGUUUGUUAAGUUGAAUGUGAAAUCCCCGGGCUCAACCUGGGAACUGCAUCCAAAACUGGCAAGCUAGAGUAGGGCAGAGGGUGGUGGAAUUUCCUGUGUAGCGGUGAAAUGCGUAGAUAUAGGAAGGAACACCAGUGGCGAAGGCGACCACCUGGGC